UACGGGGGGGGCAAGCGUUGUUCGGAAUUACUGGGCGUAAAGGGCUCGUAGGCGGCCAACUAAGUCAUGCGUGAAAUCCCUCGGCUUAACCGGGGAACUGCGUCUGAUACUGGAUGGCUUGAGUUCGGGAGAGGGAUGCGGAAUUCCAGGUGUAGCGGUGGAAUGCGUAGAGAUCCGGAAGAACACCGGUGGCGAAGGCGGCCUGCUGGGCAGUUGCUGACACUGAGGCGCGACAGCGUGGGGAGCAAACGGG
This 253-nucleotide ribosomal RNA is filed under the name uncultured bacterium. RNAcentral's name for it is "partial 16S ribosomal RNA". It matches the Rfam family "Bacterial small subunit ribosomal RNA", at positions 524 to 776 of the family's 1533-position model. The record is from RNAcentral.